This 369-nucleotide ribosomal RNA is filed under the name uncultured organism. RNAcentral describes it as "bacterial SSU rRNA". It matches the Rfam family "Bacterial small subunit ribosomal RNA", at positions 526 to 896 of the family's 1533-position model. The record is from RNAcentral.
CGUAGGGGGCAAGCGUUAUCCGGAAUUAUUGGGCGUAAAGAGUGCGUAGGUGGUUUUGUAAGCGCGAGGUGAAAGGCUAUGGCUCAACCAUAGUAAGCCUUGCGAACUGCAAGACUUGAGUGCAGGAGAGGAAAGUGGAAUUCCUAGUGUAGCGGUGAAAUGCGUAGAUAUUAGGAGGAACACCAGUGGCGAAGGCGACUUUCUGGACUGUAACUGACACUGAGGCACGAAAGCGUGGGGAACAAACAGGAUUAGAUACCCUGGUAGUCCACGCCGUAAACGAUGAGCACUAGGUGUCGGGGUCGCAAGGCUUCGGUGCCGCAGUUAACGCAUUAAGUGCUCCGCCUGGGGAGUACGCACGCAAGUGUG